This 443-nucleotide ribosomal RNA is filed under the name Veillonella parvula. Its description in RNAcentral is "bacterial SSU rRNA". It matches the Rfam family "Bacterial small subunit ribosomal RNA", at positions 28 to 449 of the family's 1533-position model. Lineage: Bacteria; Bacillati; Bacillota; Negativicutes; Veillonellales; Veillonellaceae. The record is from RNAcentral.
GACGAACGCUGGCGGCGUGCUUAACACAUGCAAGUCGAACGAAGAGCGAUGGAAGCUUGCUUCUAUCAAUCUUAGUGGCGAACGGGUGAGUAACGCGUAAUCAACCUGCCCUUCAGAGGGGGACAACAGUUGGAAACGACUGCUAAUACCGCAUACGAUCUGACCUCGGCAUCGAGGAUAGAUGAAAGGUGGCCUCUAUUUAUAAGCUAUCACUGAAGGAGGGGAUUGCGUCUGAUAAGCUAGUGGGAGGGGUAACGGCCCACCAAGGCGAUGAUCAGUAGCCGGUCUGAGAGGAUGAACGGCCACAUUGGGAGUGAGACACGGCCCAGACUCUACGGGAGGCAGCAGUGGGGAAUCUUCCGCAAUGGACGAAAGUCGGACGGAGCAACGCCGCGUGAGUGAUGACGGCCUUCGGGUUGUAAAGCUUUGUUAAUCGGGACGAA